CAAGAAUAUUAGUCAAUGCUCGCAAGAGUGAACUAGCUAACUGAAAUCAUAUUAGUGUCUAAUGUGAUGUCGUAAGGGAAAAUAAUGAUAGAACCUUACUAAUAGUGUCGUCCAAAACUGGUGCCAGAAGACUCGGUAAGGCCAGAGACGCGAACGUUAAUCGUCUUAAUCAGGCGUAAAGGGUUUGUAGGCUGCUUUGAAAGUAUUCAAUUAAUAUAGCCAAAAAAGUAAUUGAAUAUCAAUUAAAGCUAGAAUCUAAUAGAGGAUAUUAAGUAAAUUAUACUUAGUCGAGGGGUUAAAUCCGUUAACACUAAGUAGACUACUAAAGGCGUAAGCAUUUAUCCAAUAAAGAUUGACGCUGAGAAACGAAGGUGAGGAGAGGAAGUAGGAUUAGAUACCCAGGUACCCCUCACUGUCAACGAUGAAUGGUAGUUAGUUAGUCUUACCAGACUAGUGACGAUGUUAACACGUUAACCAUUCCGCCUUGUGAGUACGACUGCAAAGUUGAAAACAAAAAAAUUAGUCGGUCUCGGAGCAAACGAAGUGAAGUAUGUUAUUUAAU
This 562-nucleotide ribosomal RNA is filed under the name Mycoacia cf. columellifera 2063. RNAcentral's name for it is "SSU rRNA". It matches the Rfam family "Bacterial small subunit ribosomal RNA", at positions 356 to 950 of the family's 1533-position model. The record is from RNAcentral. Lineage: Eukaryota; Fungi; Basidiomycota; Agaricomycetes; Polyporales; Meruliaceae.